CUAGCUAAUGGUUAGGAUGGAGACUGCUUCGUUGCUGCUGUCAAACCCCAUGUGGAAGAUCAGAAAACGUGGCCAGGAGUUGUGAGAGAAGGUAAUGCUGAGAUGAAGGACAUCAUACCACAAGACUAUUUGUGUGUGUAUAAGCCUGAUCAACAAGUAAAAAGAGUCAGAUCUCUCAAUUGCCAUGAUGACCAAGAUAUUCAAUGGGGAAAUGUGGAAAGCUGCCAUAUUCCCAGUCAUUACUUUUCUGAAUCAUCUGUGCAGCAGUAGCAGCAGCACCGAGGAAUCCUACUUUCCUGAGUCCGACACAGAGAAGGCCAUCAAGGACUUCCCUGACUGGCAACAGACUGGAGUAGAGGCUGUAGCAGAGACAGCCUUUUUUUUUUUUUUUUUACUGAAAUAAUUGACAUUAUGAUGGACAGUGGACAAUAUGAUAAGCAGUACUUGAAUUUGUUCAGUAGUAUUAGUGUGACAAUCAGUUUUUGUUCUCCAACCUGUACAGACUGCUGUUGUGAAGCAGGGAUACACAGCUUAGUCAAAAGAGAGAAAGGCUGUAUAUUUCAGCGACUCCUUCAGAUUGAGAAAAAUAAUGACUUUUCUUAAUAAAUAAAUGUUAUUCUUUGCUCAAAAGUGUCUUUAGGUUUAAAUAACAUUAUCCUGAUCCCAUAGGUAUCCAAAAAUUGAGAAAGGCUAAGCAAGUGAUGUUUUUUUAAACUGAAACUGGGUGCACAGGUUUACAGACACAUCUCUACUGAUUGGGUAUCACCUAGAACACAACCAAUAAUUGAGACACACCCACCAAAUGAGAGAAA
This is a long non-coding RNA of Perca flavescens (yellow perch), 812 nucleotides long. RefSeq lists it as uncharacterized. The transcript is spliced from 4 exons. Lineage: Eukaryota; Metazoa; Chordata; Actinopteri; Perciformes; Percidae. The record is from RefSeq and is a predicted model, not a curated record.